CCCCUCCAAAGCAAUCCUAUCGUCGCAUAGCACUUUCAAGAUUCCUCCAUCAGCUACUGUCCUGUAGCUUCUUGAAUCCAGUCUGCUCAGUGAGAUAAGAUUCUAUCUAAAAUUGGGUAUGUAUCAGACCUCCCCUAAUCUCCUCACUACACCAUCAUGUAUCCUCCAACUGACCAUCUCGAUGCCUCUGAUCGCACAGCUCGAUCC
This 207-nucleotide long non-coding RNA is filed under the name Elaeis guineensis (African oil palm). Its description in RNAcentral is "long non-coding RNA (EGUI_LNC061165)". The record is from RNAcentral. Lineage: Eukaryota; Viridiplantae; Streptophyta; Magnoliopsida; Arecales; Arecaceae.